AAUAUUAAAGGAUUGAUAAUUUGAUCAGUUACUCAGUACUGAGUUACUUUUCACCAAAUACUUUUUUACUCUGACUGGAGUAAUUUCUUGAACAGAGGUAAAGGAUCUUGUUUUGAGUAAAUACUUCUUGAAUGUAGAUAAAAAGUACUAGAUCAAGUAGUUUUUAUUUCCACUUAUAAUGGGACAUCUUCCCAUGCUAAGUGAAAUAAUCUUCCAGAGGAACUAGAUAUUUGCACUAGAAUCUAGACCAAAACUACUUUUUAAUAUUUUGUGUUUUUGCAGUCUGCUCAUUUAUUCACUUUAUAUGAUUUUCUUUCCCUCCUGUUUUUAUAAUCUAUUUAAUGAUUUUCAAAGUAGUCUGCUGCAAAUCUCUGAGAAGUUUUGUCCAGUUUGGUUGAGGCCUUUGCCGAGUGAAACAAAGAGGAUUUAAAUUUGUGACAGUUGUCUUGUUGAAGUGGGACUCAUCAUUAAAAAGGGAGGAAACAGCCUGGAAGAGCUUUGUCUUUAUGAUCUGGUGAAACGGGGGUUUUACCAGAACCUCUGGGACUUUGAACAACCAACACAGCAGCCACUCCAGGAACCUCUGGCACCACAUGAAAGGAUCAGAAAAAAUUCCCUCCUGUUUAUUGAUGAACUCCUCCAGCCGGCAGCGCGGCCCUGGCUGGAAUGACAACCAUGUGAGGCACAAAAAGUGACGCACGCAGACCCUGCAGGAGCCCGCGUAAUGAGGCUAAAGACGCUGACGGCAAGCAGCUGUCAAACCUCAUAUCAAGUCUCUCCAUUUUUCCAGCUUCGGGCUGGCUUCCUCUGAACCCGAGAAGCCGGGCAGCAGACGCCCUCCAAGCAUCGCCUGUCCCAUGAAUGUGUUAGCGAUCCGCGCACCAGAGGGGUGGUGAGCUCCCAGAAGUGACACCGUGUGUUGUAGGGUCUCCUCUGACGCAAGGAAACCUUUUAGUUGUAGUGUCUGGUGUCACUCGGAUGCAUAGCAACGCAAAUGCUGCCUAUAAAUAUACUUCCCUGUCCGGGCUAUUUUAAAACCAAUAGGGUCAAACCGAAGAGUUCAGCUUCCUUUCAGUGUUGGAGACAAAAUAAAGUAAAAAACUGUAAACGAAUAAACUUCUGCAAAGGGAAAGCAAUGAGUCAGCAAAGAGUGUUAUGUAAAAAACAAAGGGUACACUGCAACAACACAAAAUCAUACCAAGAAUUGUUAUUCCAGUUUCUAGUGCAAAUAUCAGACAAAACUGACUUACAAGUAACUUUUCAGAAAGAUUUUGGAGCUUUUUUAAGUCAAUAAUUCCCUGAUAUUGACGAAAAAGUAUUUGUACAAUUGGCAGAUUAUUUCACUUAUACCAAGGGAAAAAUGUAAAGUUUUGUUGAUCUGGGGAAUGUGGUUGUGGACUUUAUGGAAAGGGCUUGAAUUAAACACAGUUUCUGUCACAGAAGAAGAAGUGAAAAUGGUCUCAAAACAACUUUAUUUUAGAUUACCGCAAUAAUUUCUUGGAUAUUUUAUGGUCAACCAAAAUUUGUUAUUGUGACCGGAAAGCUUGCCAAAACUUUUUCUGCACCAUGUUGGCGAAUCAGUGGCUUUAUUGAAACUCAUCUUGUUAUACAUGCAAUGACUUCAAGAGUUUACGUAGUAGACCAUGAAGAUAAGUUCAAACUUUGCUACAUAAAGUUUAUUAUCAAAAACGAUGUGAAGGAUUAAAGUUCUUCAGGA
Molecule: long non-coding RNA, 1717 nt
Organism: Xiphophorus couchianus (Monterrey platyfish)
Lineage: Eukaryota; Metazoa; Chordata; Actinopteri; Cyprinodontiformes; Poeciliidae
Exons: 2
Source: RefSeq, a predicted model, not a curated record